This is a long non-coding RNA of Phalaenopsis equestris, 840 nucleotides long. RefSeq lists it as uncharacterized. Lineage: Eukaryota; Viridiplantae; Streptophyta; Magnoliopsida; Asparagales; Orchidaceae. The record is from RefSeq and is a predicted model, not a curated record. The transcript has 3 exons.
UCUCGAUCGUUUUUCACUCCUAAUUGUCAUAGAGCGAACGGAGAGAGGGAGAGAGAGGGAGCGAGAGAAGAAUUAGAGAGGGAAGGAGAAGUCGAAAGAGGAGUUUAACCACUUUUGCUCUCGCGUGUGUGUAGAGGAAGAAGAGGAAGAAAAAGACUACGGUUGUUGUGCAGUUUGCACGAGAUCAAAAAAUACAGGAGGGAAAGCUUGUGUGCAUGCUCUCGUGUGUGUGCAGAGGAAGAAGAAGACUACGGCUGUUGUGCAGACCGCAUGAGAUCGAAGAAUACAGGGGGAAGACUUGUGUGCAUGCUCUGUUAGGAUGAACUACGACCGAAGGAGAAGAAGGGAAGUGAAAGUCUUGCAGUAUUGUGUAUGAAGAUAGGGCAGAAGAUACCGUGUCAUGUUCCUAUGUAGAGGAAGAAGACAAAUUGUACUCGUGAGAGGAAGAAAAGCCUUACGUUAGGAUCAACCGAGACCGAAGGGAGGCGUGUGCAGUGCUAAGUAGGGCCAUGGGACUGAGGGUAGGAGGAAGAAUAAGAGCGGAGCUCCCGUGAGUGAGAUAGGGUUGUUGACCAACUGUAAACAAGAUUGAAGCUAUUAAAAUCCCGAAAGCAAAGUGUAGGAAGCUCUCAUUCUGUGGGAAGGAGGAGCUUCGAGCGUGUGUGAGGUUAAGGUGAGGUCGCCGAAGUUUAAGAUUCUAAGAAAAGGUUUGAGGAGCAUGCCAGUGAGAUAGAAGAUUGAUCCGAGAAACUGAUAAGUAAGUGCUUGAGGUUAAGGAAAUAUAGUUUUGAAAUUGAAGGGGAAAGCGGAGGCUUGUGCGAGAAGCUAAUCAUACCUUUU